CUCGGCAGCGACGGCAUCUCCUACACGCCUCUUCAAUUGUUGGGUUGAGCGUUGGCUCGUCCGACUCCGGUUUUCCUGUGCGGGCUACCUAUCGUGAUGGCAUUGAGUCGGCUAUAAUCGUUCUUUUCCCGCCUCGUUCGGCCGCUCCAGCUGGGGCAGCUGAACAAGGUGGGCUGAAUCGCGCACGCUGCGUGUUGCACCGCGUUCGCCGUCACUGGCAUUCGCGUUGACGACCCGCAGCGUUGUGCUCGAUCUCUCGGGUAUGGUGCAUGACGUGGGUACGAGGCCGAUGGCCUCCGAGCUCCACAAUCAAGCGUUCUACGCUUCGUGCGAACGACUGUCGGUUCGGUAUUUGGCUUUGCUCCCGUGGCUCGGCUCAAGCCGUACCGACGUCGAUGAGGAAUGCUACCUGGUUGAUCCUGCCAGUAGUCAUAUGCUUGUCUCAA
This 446-nucleotide unclassified non-coding RNA is filed under the name Salvia farinacea. RNAcentral describes it as "partial external transcribed spacer". Lineage: Eukaryota; Viridiplantae; Streptophyta; Magnoliopsida; Lamiales; Lamiaceae. The record is from RNAcentral.